CGGGACGCUCCGCCCCGCCCCUCCGGGCAGCGAGGUUCCGCCUCACCUUUCAAAGGCCCUAUGCUGGUCCGGCUUCUCUCCACCACCCACCCACUGACGGCAGGGCCCCGCCUGCAGGCCGUUCAGCUAUUUGUCUGCUGUUGCGCGCACCGUGACCCACGCGGAAGUGGAGAGCGGCGAGUGGAGGUCCCAGCGCAGCUGGGCGGAAGGCGGGAUCAGGAGAAGCAGAGACAGCGACUCCUAGAGAAAUGGAAAAUUGAGAAAAGCAUGGACAAGCGAUGGCAGUGA
Molecule: long non-coding RNA, 288 nt
Organism: Bos indicus x Bos taurus (hybrid cattle)
Lineage: Eukaryota; Metazoa; Chordata; Mammalia; Artiodactyla; Bovidae
Source: Ensembl